GAUGAACGCUAGCUACAGGCUUAACACAUGCAAGUCGAGGGGAAACGACGUCGAAAGCUUGCUUUUGAUGGCGUCGACCGGCGCACGGGUGAGUAACGCGUAUCCAACCUGCCCAUCACUUGGGAAUAACCUUGCGAAAGUAAGACUAAUACCCAAUGACAUCCCACGAAGACAUCUGAAUGGGAUUAAAGAUUUAUCGGUGAUGGAUGGGGAUGCGUCUGAUUAGCUUGUUGGCGGGGUAACGGCCCACCAAGGCAACGAUCAGUAGGGGUUCUGAGAGGAAGGUCCCCCACAUUGGAACUGAGACACGGUCCAAACUCCUACGGGAGGCAGCAGUGAGGAAUAUUGAUCAAUGGGCGAGAGCCUGAACCAGCCAAGUAGCGUGCAGGAUGACGGCCCUAUGGGUUGUAAACUGCUUUUAUAAGGGAAUAAAGUGGGUCUCGUGAGACUUUUUGCAUGUACCUUAUGAAUAAGGACCGGCUAAUUCCGUG
RNAcentral lists this ribosomal RNA (491 nucleotides) under uncultured bacterium. RNAcentral describes it as "partial 16S ribosomal RNA". It matches the Rfam family "Bacterial small subunit ribosomal RNA", at positions 28 to 507 of the family's 1533-position model. The record is from RNAcentral.